CAGUAGCCGCGGUAACACAGAGGGUGCGAGCGUUAAUCGGAUUUACUGGGCGUAAAGCGUGCGUAGGCGGCUUCUUAAGUCGGAUGUGAAAUCCCUGAGCUUAACUUAGGAAUUGCAUUCGAUACUGGGAAGCUAGAGUAUGGGAGAGGAUGGUAGAAUUCCAGGUGUAGCGGUGAAAUGCGUAGAGAUCUGGAGGAAUACCGAUGGCGAAGGCAGCCAUCUGGCCUAAUACUGACGCUUAGGUACGAAAGCAUGGGGAGCAAACAGGAUUAGAUACCCCUGUAGUCCCUGUCUCUUAUAC
Molecule: ribosomal RNA, 301 nt
Filed under: uncultured bacterium
Lineage: Bacteria
Description: partial 16S ribosomal RNA
Rfam family: Bacterial small subunit ribosomal RNA
Source: RNAcentral